This 403-nucleotide ribosomal RNA is filed under the name Verrucomicrobiota bacterium. Its description in RNAcentral is "Verrucomicrobia bacterium partial 16S ribosomal RNA". It matches the Rfam family "Bacterial small subunit ribosomal RNA", at positions 355 to 776 of the family's 1533-position model. The record is from RNAcentral. Lineage: Bacteria; Pseudomonadati; Verrucomicrobiota.
UGGGGAAUAUUGCACAAUGGGGGAAACCCUGAUGCAGCGACGCCGCGUGAGCGAAGAAGGUUUUCGAAUCGUAAAGCUCUGUCCUAUGAGAAGAUAAUGACGGUAUCAUAGGAGGAAGCCCCGGCUAAAUACGUGCCAGCAGCCGCGGUAAUACGUAUGGGGCGAGCGUUGUCCGGAAUUAUUGGGCGUAAAGGGUACGUAGGUGGUUUUUUAAGUCAGGUGUCAAAGCGUGGAGCUUAACUCCAUUAAGCACUUGAAACUGAAAGACUUGAGUGAAGGAGAGGAAAGUGGAAUUCCUAGUGUAGCGGUGAAAUGCGUAGAGAUUAGGAAGAACACCGGUGGCGAAGGCGACUUUCUGGACGACAACUGACGCUUAGGCGCGAAAGCGUGGGGAGCAAACAGG